Bufo bufo (common toad) is the source of this 323-nucleotide long non-coding RNA. RefSeq lists it as uncharacterized. Lineage: Eukaryota; Metazoa; Chordata; Amphibia; Anura; Bufonidae. The transcript has 3 exons. The record is from RefSeq and is a predicted model, not a curated record.
AAAAAAAACGUGAAAUGCGGGACCGUGAUCAACUGAGAACAAGAAUAAUUCAUCGAGGACAGAGAGGCGGAAACACCACCAGCCACCAAGCUUCAACAAUGACGACGCGCUCACAGGCUCCAUGAAACUAGAAAUUACUACCAGGCAUGGACGAAAAAUACUAUUAUAUGAUGGCAUAUCUUGAAUGUAUAUAUAUUUUCCAUAGUGACUCUUUACGCUAUAUAUCUGCAUCACUUUUGAUGUAUGUCAACACAAACCUUACUUUGAUUAUAUUCCAUUGUACAAUUGUAGUGCCUGACGAAGGCUGAAUUGUCCGCUGAAAA